RNAcentral lists this long non-coding RNA (413 nucleotides) under Rattus norvegicus (Norway rat). RNAcentral describes it as "long non-coding RNA NONRATT033561". The record is from RNAcentral. Lineage: Eukaryota; Metazoa; Chordata; Mammalia; Rodentia; Muridae.
AUUGAUGCUCACACUUUUCCCUUUCCCUUGGCUUUUUACCACCAUAGAGUGUCAUCCACGGCAUGUUACUCAUCACAGCUACAGUGAGGUGUUGACCUAAGGCCCAGAAGAGCUUCUAGCUAUUCUCCAAGAUUGGAAAGUCAAGUCAGUUCCUGUGUCGAACAUGAUUAUACAACUUAUGCCUGCUAAGUUCCAACUCCCAAGUUCUUUCCAAAUGAGUGGGCAAGUUGGGAAACUCCAAACAGAUGUUGACCCUUUCAAAUGUAUCUCUCUGCCCUGAGACUUGGAAGAGAUCCAUUCAGGGCUCACAUUCUUUUCCCCAUAGUUCCAAGAUGACAUCACUUUCUACAGGAAAACUUCAGACCCAGCAUCAUCCAUCCUCAAGGAGUCCUUUACUGUCAAUUAUCAAAUAG